GCUAGCGGCAGGCUUAACACAUGCAAGUCGAGGGGUAACAGGCAGAUUGCUUGCAAUCUUGCUGACGACCGGCGCACGGGUGCGUAACGCGUAUAGAAUCUGCCUUGUACAGGAGGAUAGCCUUUAGAAAUGAAGAUUAAUACUCCAUAAUAUUGGGAAGUGGCAUCACUAUCUAAUUAAAGAUUUAUCGGUACAAGAUGACUAUGCGUCCUAUUAGCUAGAUGGUAAGGUAACGGCUUACCAUGGCUACGAUAGGUAGGGGGUCUGAGAGGAUUAUCCCCCACACUGGUACUGAGACACGGACCAGACUCCUACGGGAGGCAGCAGUGAGGAAUAUUGGUCAAUGGAGGCAACUCUGAACCAGCCAUGCCGCGUGCAGGAAGACUGCCCUAUGGGUUGUAAACUGCUUUUAUACGGGAAGAAACAGAGCUACGUGUAGCUCCUUGACGGUACCGUAAGAAUAAGCACCGGCUAACUCCGUGCCAGC
Molecule: ribosomal RNA, 487 nt
Filed under: marine sediment bacterium ISA-7279
Lineage: Bacteria
Description: bacterial SSU rRNA
Rfam family: Bacterial small subunit ribosomal RNA
Source: RNAcentral